RNAcentral lists this long non-coding RNA (352 nucleotides) under Brassica napus (rape). RNAcentral describes it as "long non-coding RNA (BNAP_LNC011834)". Lineage: Eukaryota; Viridiplantae; Streptophyta; Magnoliopsida; Brassicales; Brassicaceae. The record is from RNAcentral.
UUAUUUUAUCGCAUCUAAAAUUUUAAAUACGUUCAAUAAUUUAUAAAUUUGAUUAGGCUUAUCCUUACAUUUAGUAAUAAACUUAAAUAUAAUUUUAAUUAUUUAACUAUCCACAAAAAGUGUAAUAUAUAUAUAAAUUUUUAUCUUUGAUAAGAUGAUACAACGAUGUCUAAAAUCUUGUCAAAAUUUAAAUACAGUAUAGAAUCUAUAUAUUAAUACUCGAUAAAUUAAUUAACACAAUAAAUUAAUAAAUUUUUCUAGUCCCAAGUUAGACGGAUUCAAAAUAUGACUCAAAUCAAUAAUAUAAUAAAAUAAUUUUUUUUAUAGAAAAUUUUAUGUAAAUAUAUAGCCC